CCGCGAAGCUCGUGCGGGCGGGGCUGGGGACGUGGCGCCCGCGAUCUCGGAGCUGAGGGGAGGAGACAAGCUCAGUCCUGAGGCCUCCAAGGUUCUCGGCAGCCUGUGCCAGGAAGGCCAUCUCACCUUACCUGCCUCUUCUGAUGCUGUCUUCCAAACUGUAAUGUCUGUCAUUCCAAUAUGAACACCGGUGCCAUUCCACAGACAUUUUAUCACCUUUACACAGUCAAGGAAGUAAAGGUUUGUGGACAAAGCACAAAAGAUCAAAUAUGGGAUAAUGUAAAUCCUAGUGUCAACAGAUCCUGCUACAAAGCCAAGAGGUGCCCAGCCCAGCAUCAGGUUAUCUACACUAACCUGUAGGACUGCUGAACUGUGGUCCCAGAUGCUCUCUUUGAAGCCGAGUGGUUAGGGAAUGAGCAUGAGUCUG
This 427-nucleotide long non-coding RNA is filed under the name Cricetulus griseus (Chinese hamster). RNAcentral's name for it is "lncRNA (ENSCGRG00015039362.1)". Lineage: Eukaryota; Metazoa; Chordata; Mammalia; Rodentia; Cricetidae. The record is from RNAcentral.